Molecule: non-coding RNA, 29 nt
Filed under: Mus musculus (house mouse)
Lineage: Eukaryota; Metazoa; Chordata; Mammalia; Rodentia; Muridae
Source: RNAcentral
UAUUUAUUGAGGGCCAUACUAUGUGCCGG